Cucurbita moschata (crookneck pumpkin) is the source of this 161-nucleotide long non-coding RNA. RefSeq lists it as uncharacterized. NCBI's taxonomy places the organism in Eukaryota, Viridiplantae, Streptophyta, Magnoliopsida, Cucurbitales, Cucurbitaceae. The transcript is spliced from 3 exons. The record is from RefSeq and is a predicted model, not a curated record.
AGAGGUUUCCACACUCUUAUAAGAAAUGUUUCAUUCUCCUGUCCAACUGAUGUGGGAUCUCACAAUCCACCCCCUUUGAGAGAGCCCAACGUUCUCACUGACACACAACCUAGUGUCUAGCUCUAAUACAAUUUGUCAAAACCAAAGCCCACUGCUAGUAG